GACGAACGCUGGCGGCGUGCCUAACACAUGCAAGUCGAACGGAAAGGCCCUGCUUUUGUGGGGUGCUCGAGUGGCGAACGGGUGAGUAACACGUGAGUAACCUGCCCUUGACUUUGGGAUAACUUCAGGAAACUGGGGCUAAUACCGGAUAGGAGCUCCUGCUGCAUGGUGGGGGUUGGAAAGUUUCGGCGGUUGGGGAUGGACUCGCGGCUUAUCAGCUUGCUGGUGGGGUAGUGGCUUACCAAGGCUUUGACGGGUAGCCGGCCUGAGAGGGUGACCGGCCACAUUGGGACUGAGAUACGGCCCAGACUCCUACGGGAGGCAGCGGUGGGGAAUAUUGCACAAUGGGCGGAAGCCUGAUGCAGCGACGCCGCGUGCGGGAUGACGGCCUUCGGGUUGUAAACCGCUUUCGCCUAUGACGAAGCGUGAGUGACGGUAAUGGGUAAAGAAGCACCGGCUAACUACGUG
RNAcentral lists this ribosomal RNA (468 nucleotides) under uncultured bacterium. RNAcentral describes it as "partial 16S ribosomal RNA". It matches the Rfam family "Bacterial small subunit ribosomal RNA", at positions 28 to 507 of the family's 1533-position model. The record is from RNAcentral.